RNAcentral lists this unclassified non-coding RNA (596 nucleotides) under Leishmania donovani. Its description in RNAcentral is "gene:unknown". The record is from RNAcentral. Lineage: Eukaryota; Euglenozoa; Kinetoplastea; Trypanosomatida; Trypanosomatidae.
AAGAGAAGAUGCCGACAGCAGAUGCUUUAUUUUGCGCCUUUCUGUCUUUUCAUAUUCGCGUGGCUUCGCCGCACCCCCGCCGGACCUGCACGGCCGCGCGGGUCUGCCGCAGUGCGCGCGCCCACCGCCUGUGUUGCUGUCUGUGCCCCCCCGCGUCGUCGCCACCUCCCUGCUUGCGAGAUUUCGCUUCCGCGUGGCUGCAGGGGAGACACGCGCGCACCGCGGCACGGAGCGGGGGCUCGAGCAACGGCACGAGCGUGCGAAGGGAGCAAGCUGCACACACGCACACACACACACACACACACACACACACACCACAAAUUACCAAGCGCGUUAUCUGUCGUCACCGCUAUACACACCGCGUCGCGCGGGCGGAGGCCGAAUCCUGCGUGCGCACCUCCCAAAGGCUGCCUCCUGACCCCCUGCCUCCCUGCCUCUCCGCCCUCUCCCCUCUUCCCUCUUCCCUCUUCCCUCUUCCAUCUGCACUCACUCUGCACUUUUUUUUCUUCUUCCCUUGCGCGCGCGUGACGCCGCGCUCUUCACCUGCGCGCCCCGCACCGACUUGGGCCCUCUCGUGCCACAACGGACGCGGACAG